This 405-nucleotide ribosomal RNA is filed under the name uncultured bacterium. RNAcentral's name for it is "bacterial SSU rRNA". It matches the Rfam family "Bacterial small subunit ribosomal RNA", at positions 8 to 425 of the family's 1533-position model. The record is from RNAcentral.
AGAGUUUGAUCCUGGCUCAGAGCGAACGCUGGCGGCAGGCCUAAUACAUGCAAGUCGAACGGACCCUUCGGGGUUAGUGGCGGACGGGUGAGUAACACGUGGGAACGUGCCCUUUGGUUCGGAACAACUCAGGGAAACUUGAGCUAAUACCGAAUGUGCCCCCAUCCUUAAACAAGAUGGGUGGGAAAGAUUUAUCGCCAUUGGAGCGGCCCGCGUCUGAUUAGCUAGUUGGUGAGGUAAAGGCUCACCAAGGCGACGAUCAGUAGCUGGUCUGAGAGGAUGAUCAGCCACACUGGGACUGAGACACGGCCCAGACUCCUACGGGAGGCAGCAGUAGGGAAUCUUGCGCAAUGGGCGAAAGCCUGACGCAGCCAUGCCGCGUGAAUGAUGAAGGUCUUAGGAUUG